This is a long non-coding RNA of Ipomoea nil (Japanese morning glory), 175 nucleotides long. RefSeq lists it as uncharacterized. The record is from RefSeq and is a predicted model, not a curated record. The transcript has 4 exons. Lineage: Eukaryota; Viridiplantae; Streptophyta; Magnoliopsida; Solanales; Convolvulaceae.
UCAAGUGUGGCAUCUGAAUCUACAUUUAGUGCUGGGGGAAGAGUCAUUGAUGAAUAUCGUGCUAGCUUAAAUGAGGAAUCUAUUGAAGCUCUUAUUUGUGGUGGGGAUUGGCUUCGUAACAAAUAUGGGCUGAAGAAAAAACAAAAGAUAUGGGUUAAAAUUAUAUUCCUUCUUG